AGUGAACGCUGGCGGUAGGCCUAACACAUGCAAGUCGAACGGCAGCACAGUAAGAGCUUGCUCUUACGGGUGGCGAGUGGCGGACGGGUGAGGAAUACAUCGGAAUCUACCUUUUCGUGGGGGAUAACGUAGGGAAACUUACGCUAAUACCGCAUACGACCUACGGGUGAAAGCAGGGGAUCUUCGGACCUUGCGCGAUUGAAUGAGCCGAUGUCGGAUUAGCUAGUUGGCGGGGUAAAGGCCCACCAAGGCGACGAUCCGUAGCUGGUCUGAGAGGAUGAUCAGCCACACUGGAACGGAGACACGGUCCAGACUCCUACGGGAGGCAGCAGUGGGGAAUAUUGGACAAUGGGCGCAAGCCUGAUCCAGCCAUACCGCGUGGGUGAAGAAGGCCUUCGGGUUGUAAAGCCCUUUUGUUGGGAAAGAAAAGCAGCAGGUUAAUACCCCGCUGUUCUGACGGUACCCAAAGAAUAAGCACCGGCUAACUUCGUG
RNAcentral lists this ribosomal RNA (492 nucleotides) under uncultured bacterium. RNAcentral describes it as "partial 16S ribosomal RNA". It matches the Rfam family "Bacterial small subunit ribosomal RNA", at positions 29 to 507 of the family's 1533-position model. The record is from RNAcentral.